GGUUGUGGCUCAGUGGUAGUGCACUCACCUAGCACAUGUGAGGCCCUGGGUUUGAUUCUCAGCACCA
RNAcentral lists this transfer RNA (67 nucleotides) under Marmota monax (woodchuck). Its description in RNAcentral is "tRNA.Ala". The record is from RNAcentral. Lineage: Eukaryota; Metazoa; Chordata; Mammalia; Rodentia; Sciuridae.